RNAcentral lists this ribosomal RNA (230 nucleotides) under uncultured microorganism. RNAcentral describes it as "partial 16S ribosomal RNA". It matches the Rfam family "Bacterial small subunit ribosomal RNA", at positions 524 to 752 of the family's 1533-position model. The record is from RNAcentral.
UACGUAGGGUGCGAGCGUUGUCCGGAAUUACUGGGCGUAAAGAGCUCGUAGGUGGUUUGUUGCGUCGUCUGUGAAAUUCCGGGGCUUAACUUCGGGGUGGCAGGCGAUACGGGCAUAACUAGAGUGCUGUAGGGGAGACUGGAAUUCCUGGUGUAGCGGUGGAAUGCGCAGAUAUCAGGAGGAACACCGAUGGCGAAGGCAGGUCUCUGGGCAGUAACUGACGCUGAGGA